GGCUGGUCCGAAGCUAGUGAGUUAUCUUGAUUGAUUGUUCAGUCAGUUACAGAUCGAACUCCCUGUUCUACUCUUUCCCCCCUUCUCACUACUGCACUUGACUAGUCUUAA
RNAcentral lists this Y RNA (111 nucleotides) under Cebus imitator (Panamanian white-faced capuchin). RNAcentral's name for it is "Y RNA (ENSCCAG00000001883.1)". It matches the Rfam family "Y RNA". From Rfam's summary of the family: Y RNAs are components of the Ro ribonucleoprotein particle (Ro RNP), in association with Ro60 and La proteins. The Y RNAs and Ro60 and La proteins are well conserved, but the function of the Ro RNP is not known. In humans the RNA component can be one of four small RNAs -- hY1, hY3, hY4 and hY5. Lineage: Eukaryota; Metazoa; Chordata; Mammalia; Primates; Cebidae. The record is from Rfam by way of RNAcentral.